AAUAAAGGAAUGAAAAUCGGCUAGGGGAAAAAAAUAUCACGGCGUUCGGAUCGAUGUUGGCUAGAUCCAGGAGGUUGCAGUAUGUCGAUGCGGAGGCACAUAACAGGUACUGUUUUCAUUCGGCCCACCAUAGCUUGAAUGGUUGGACAGCAAAGGGGGCUACUAUCCAGUCAUUCAAGUCUAUGGUACUGGAGUCUGGUAUCCGGUCUCGCAGCCGACUAUAGUCAAGACCCUU
RNAcentral lists this long non-coding RNA (235 nucleotides) under Setaria italica (foxtail millet). RNAcentral describes it as "long non-coding RNA (SITA_LNC007472)". Lineage: Eukaryota; Viridiplantae; Streptophyta; Magnoliopsida; Poales; Poaceae. The record is from RNAcentral.